CUACGGGCUGCAGCAGUGGGGAAUAUUGGACAAUGGGGGCAACCCUGAUCCAGCCAUGCCGCGUGUGUGAAGAAGGCCUUAGGGUUGUAAAGCACUUUCAGUGGUGAGGAAGGCUGAGUAGUUAAUACCUGCUUAGUUUGACGUUAGCCACAGAAGAAGCACCGGCUAACUCUGUGCCAGCAGCCGCGGUAAUACAGAGGGUGCGAGCGUUAAUCGGAAUUACUGGGCGUAAAGCGCGCGUAGGUGGUUUGUUAAGUCGGAUGUGAAAUCCCCGGGCUCAACCUGGGAACUGCACCCGAUACUGGCAGGCUAGAGUACGAUAGAGGGGUGUGGAAUUUCCUGUGUAGCGGUGAAAUGCGUAGAUAUAGGAAGGAACAUCAGUGGCGAAGGCGACACCCUGGAUUGAUACUGACACUGAGGUGCGAAAGCGUGGGGAGCAAACAGGAUUAGAUACCCGCGUAGUC
Molecule: ribosomal RNA, 464 nt
Filed under: uncultured bacterium
Lineage: Bacteria
Description: partial 16S ribosomal RNA
Rfam family: Bacterial small subunit ribosomal RNA
Source: RNAcentral